This is a non-coding RNA of Notolabrus celidotus (New Zealand spotty), 395 nucleotides long. The record is from the annotation of a RefSeq genome assembly. Lineage: Eukaryota; Metazoa; Chordata; Actinopteri; Labriformes; Labridae.
UUAAACUCAGUCAGACACACAUCAUGAUCAUCGUCCUCUGUAUCACCUUUAACCUUUUCAUCGUUUCAGGUUCCUCUGUCGACAAAGAAGUCACCCAGACUCCAGCUGACAUGAUCAACAAACUGGGAGAACCAGCCAACAUCCACUGCAAACAUGAAAAUGAAGACUUUACCCGAAUCCUCUGGUACAAACAGUUAAAGAACAGACAGAUGCAGCUCCUGGGAUACAUGAACGUUAAUCAAGGUUAUCCUGAAGAAGGACUUAAUGUGACGAUAACAGGGAGUGCCAUGAAAGAUCAGACCUGCACAUUAACAAUCAAAGAAGUGGAGCUGAACAGCAGUGCAGUGUAUUUCUGUGCUUUCACAGCCCCUUACACCUGUUUCAAAGUCCUCUAA